Molecule: ribosomal RNA, 253 nt
Filed under: uncultured bacterium
Lineage: Bacteria
Description: partial 16S ribosomal RNA
Rfam family: Bacterial small subunit ribosomal RNA
Source: RNAcentral
UACGGAGGGUGCAAGCGUUGUCCGGAAUUACUGGGCGUAAAGAGUUCGUAGGCGGUUUGUCGCGUCGUGUGUGAAAACCAGCAGCUCAACUGCUGGCUUGCAUGCGAUACGGGCAGACUUGAGUACUGCAGAGGAGACUGGAAUUCCUGGUGUAGCGGUGAAAUGCGCAGAUAUCCGGAGGAACACCGGUGGCGAAGGCGGGUCUCUGGGCAGUUACUGACGCUGAGGAACGAAAGCGUGGGUAGCGAACAGG